GAUGAACGCUGGCGGCGUGCCUAACACAUGCAAGUCGAGCGAACACACGAGAAGCUUGCGCCUCUAACGGUAGCGGCGGACGGGUGAGUAACACGUGCAUAACCUACUUAUUAGACUUGGAUAAUAUCGGGAAGCCGGAUCCAAUACCGGAUAAUACAUUGUACGGGAGGGUUCAAUAGUGAAUGACGGUUUUCCCGUCACUUUGAGAUGGAUCCGCGCCGGAUUAGCUAGUUGGUAAGGUAACGGCUAACCAAGGCAACGAUGCGUAGCCGAUCUGAGAGGAUGAUCGGCCACACUGGAACUGAGACACGGUCCAGACUCCUACGGGAGGCAGCAGUAGGGAAUCUUCCGCAAUGGGCGCAAGCUUGACGGAGCCACGCCGCGUGAGUGAUGAAGGUCUUCGGAUCGUAAAGCUCUGUUAUUAGGGAAGAACAAAUGUGGAAGUAACUAUGCCCGUCUUGACGGUACCUAAUCAGAAAGCCACGGCUAACUACGUG
This 497-nucleotide ribosomal RNA is filed under the name uncultured bacterium. RNAcentral describes it as "partial 16S ribosomal RNA". It matches the Rfam family "Bacterial small subunit ribosomal RNA", at positions 28 to 507 of the family's 1533-position model. The record is from RNAcentral.